Molecule: long non-coding RNA, 3545 nt
Filed under: Homo sapiens (human)
Lineage: Eukaryota; Metazoa; Chordata; Mammalia; Primates; Hominidae
Description: HSALNT0402563
Source: RNAcentral
AGACGGGAACUUGCUGUGUUGCCCAGGCUGGACUCAAACUCCUGGCCUUAAGUGAUCCCACUCAGCCUUCCAAAGCUGGGUAGCUUUUGAUUGCAGAUUCUAGCUAGGUUGCAGGACGUGAGGAAGUGGGGGUGCAGAAAUCACAGCAACACCCUCCCCCAAGGGUGCUUUCCGUGGCCGUGUACACAGCCCGCCUGGCCGGCUCUGAGAGCAGGGACCCUUCUCUGGAUGCUCCAGGCCAUCGCUGUGCAGGAACCCGGUGUGUCGUAAGUGAAGGACAGUCGUCUUUACCUUGGGGGAGACAGUUGUGGGUGCCUCCCUGCAGGCUGUGGCAUCUGUAAUUCCCCAAAUGUAGGUGCUACGUUGAACAGCCCCUUAGACUUCACCGCAGCACCGUGUGGCCACCGUGCACAGCCUUCCCAGGCCAGCUGCAGAAUUCCAUGGAAAAGGUUUUGUGAAUGAUUACAACUCAACGGUCUAGGCCCUCAACCUUCUCUUUUUAGAACAGUGCCCCCCAUUGUGGAAAUCCUCGGUUCAGCCACUGGGAACUCCCCAGUUUUGAGGGCAGGUGUUGGCAGUUUCAUUUGGUCCAACACCAAUUCCACGUUCCUGUGCCCCCUUCAACAGUCUGCGCAGCCUCCCAGUGGCGCAGCCUCCCCGUGACUCAGCCUCCUGGUGACACGGCCUUGCUAGCCGCCAUCCUGUACCGGGCCCAGGUGACACCGUGGGACGUCUGUUAUUUAGGUGCCCCUGGCCCCUGCCACGGGGUUUCCCACUUUGGGGGCCUUGCAUCUGUGUGGCUUCUUCCUUGCUCUCAGUGGUCACCUGGUUGUCGGUGGCCCGCGUCCAUCAGCCCAUCAUCAUUCCGACUUGCUGUUUUGAUCGUCGGCCGGAAAGCCAGACAGCUGGCCUUGCUGGACCAUGUCUGCAAUGGGAAUUUUGAGGCCGAGAGGGAGGGCUUCAGGGGCCCCUGGGAGUGCAACACGUAAAUGGGGGCUUGCACACGGGGUCGGGUGGGGGGCUCUUGCUCCGAUGUUCCGGGAUCUUUUUUGCCCCUUGUAGACCCACAGGUGUGUGUGCAGGAGCCCUGAGGAGGCCAGAGGAGGCCAGAGAAGGGUGAGCAGAGGUCCGAGGGCACUGCGGUGAGGCCAGGCUGCAGAUGGAGCUGGGGCUCGAGCUCAGGAGCUGGUCUUCCCUGCUGGGGCCGCGACGCCUGCCGCUUUCCUGCCGGCUCUCUGGGUCAAGGCCUGGAAAGGCUUUCUUCUCGGGCUUCUCAUCAGCUUAUUGGCCCAUUUAGGUAAUGGCACUUCCUGUCCAUUAACCUCAGCCACACUGAGAUCAGCUCUCCACACUCACUUGGCAGGAGGCUUGCAGGAGCUUUCCUAUUUGGAGAGUAAAAAGAGCAUGGCCUCUGCAGCAGCCAGGAAGUGGAAAGCCCUGGCUUCCUGGUUCCAGAGAACAAACAGGGGAUGCGGCUCCCAGAUGCAGCCAAAAGUGCUCUGGGGACGGGGACAGUCGGCCGGGUCCUGUCGCAAGCGGCUGCCCUGUUGCACUGAUGUCCUGGCCCCUGAGAACACAUCAGUAGGGCCUGGCCGGACCCUGGGCCGAUGCCACUCUUAGGGGUGAGAUGGGGAGCCUGGCCCAGGCUGAGACCCCCACCCUCCACCCAAAACGUGUCCGGGCCUCCAGGCCGUGCAGAGCACACUGGAGGCUCAAGACGGCACCUCUUCUGUGGGACUGGGCCACAGCCUGUCUGAUGCCUCACUUCUCUGACUCUUGGAGGCAUGGUGCUGGCCUGUCUGUGAGCCCCAGACCCCCUCGUAGAGCUCGCUCCAGGGCCAGGCCCAGCCCCCUUACCGCCUCUCAGCCAGGCUCAGCUAGUGGCCGGCUCUGCCAUGGGGAAGGCCCGGUGUCUCUCUCUCUCUGCCUCUCCCAGGCUGCUGCAGCAUGGCCCCAAGCCUGGGCGCCAGUAACAGCCUCGUCCCUCCAGCCUGUACAAUGGCUCAGCGCUACCUGGGGACUCCCUCCAGCCAGGCCAGACAUGCUGGGCAGUCAGGGUCCCUGGGAGCCCCUUGACAGCGACUGACGGCAGGUGGGGGAUAAGUAGCCAAGUGUCUCCUGCCGGCGGGGGCAACUCUGCAGGUGUCUCUGCAGCCUCCCCAGUACCCCAUGGGUGCCUGCCCCCUGAGUCCCCCAGGGGGCACCUGCCCCUUUGUCCUGACCCCUGCUCCUUCCCUCUCUUCUCCUGGGGUGGCCAGGGGUCACAUGCCAUGUAACCCUGAAUCCUGUCCCAGCCUCUGCCCCUGAGGAACCCGCCCAGCAAGCCAUCCACCCUCACUAAAGUCCAGGCCGUCUUCCAUGGUCCCCUCACCACCUUGUUCUUUCUGGCCCCAGAGGCCAUCACCAUCCAGGGCACAAGGGGGCCUGCCCCUUGGCCAGGUGGCUGCCUGUCCUCUGACCCUGGGUUGUCGACAGGGGGAGGGGAGAGCUGGAAACCGGGGUCAGGAGGAUGCCAGCAGGUCCGUCACUCCCUGCCUGGAUCCGGCCAAGUGCGGGGGACCUUGGCCAGCAUCCUAGAGAGCUGGCGCACCUCCUGGGCCUGACGCGGGCUUCCUGGAUUGCAUAAAGGCUCCUUCUCCUUACAUAGCCAGGGCAAAGGUGCAUGACAACUCUGAGCAAGUCAAAACAACCGUCAGCAGCGGGAAACCUCGAUGAACAAACACCGGGAGAGUGCAUUCCCAGGGGAGUUCCAGGAGGCCCAUGGCCCCUCCUGUACAGCCCUCCACCGCCCAGAGCCUUCCAGCGCCGUGUCUUCCCCUUGGAGCAUCUGGAGGCCCCAGACAGCACCCGCCUGACGUUCAGCAGAGGGGGAGACCGAGGCCUGCAGCAGAGUGUUUUGUCAGAUGCUGCUCCCUGACCGGGAGUGAGAGGGAACCCACCUAGAGGUGCCAGAUGGGGUGCCAGGGCAGCGUGGCCUGCAGGCCCCUCAGCUCCUCACAGCCCCUGCCCCCAGCCUUCCUGGGCCCAGAGAUCCCCUUGUUUACCCUAGUCCAGGGACAGAGGCUCAGAUGUCAUGCUUGACCCCACAGGUACAGGGUUAGGGGUGAAGGUGGCUGUCUCUUCAUGUCUUCACCAUGGCUUCUCUGCCUUCCUCCUGCUCCUGGUGGCUUAUGUCCUGCCGCUCUUGAUACGCGACUGUGGUCUGUCCUGGGAUGGUUAUGAUGCAUAUGUGCUAUUGUUGUGAACUGUAACAUUGAGGUCUGGCCUUACGGUUGGUUUUGAUUGUCCCUUCUGCUCCCUUUUCUUAUUUUAAUAUUUUACCAUUUUCCAUUUUAAUGUAUCUGUUGUCUUUUUUGGCUAAAUCUCUUUUCAGUUUUAUUUUACUGUAUAUCUUUUCUAAGUGAUUGCUUAGAGAUUACAAUAUACUAAACCUAGCCUUUCACAGUUUCUGCAGAUCCUGCUUUGUGACUUCGAGUGAAGUGUGGAAGCGCUGGAAGCACUUAGACCCUGCCUGUGCCGCAGACCCCUGGGAGGCACCAACACCC